RNAcentral lists this ribosomal RNA (800 nucleotides) under uncultured bacterium. RNAcentral's name for it is "bacterial SSU rRNA". It matches the Rfam family "Bacterial small subunit ribosomal RNA", at positions 8 to 831 of the family's 1533-position model. The record is from RNAcentral.
AGAGUUUGAUCCUGGCUCAGGAUGAACGCUGGCGGCGUGCUUAAUACAUGCAAGUCGAACGAGCUGGAGCGAUCCAGCGAGUGGCGAACGGGUGAGUAACGCGUUGGUGACCUGCCCUGGAAUGGGGGAUACCAGACCGAAAGGUCUGCUAAUACCGCAUGCGGUUAUGAGGCUUAGAAACUUGUAACCAAAGUCGAAAGACGUUCCAGGAGGGACCUGCGUCCCAUCAGCUAGUUGGUAAGGUAACGGCCUACCAAGGCGAUGACGGGUAGGGGACCUGAGAGGGUGAUCCCCCACAAUGGAACUGAAACACGGUCCAUACACCUACGGGUGGCAGCAGUAGGGAAUAUUGCUUAAUGGGCGCAAGCCUGAAGCAGCAACGCCGCGUGUGCGAUGACGGCCUUCGGGUUGUAAAGCACUUUUCAUCGGGACGAGGAAGGACGGUACCGGUGGAAUAAGCCUCGGCUAACUACGUGCCAGCAGCCGCGGUAAAACGUAGGAGGCGAGCGUUAUCCGGAUUUACUGGGUGUAAAGCGCGUGCAGGCGGUUUGUUAAGUUGGGUGUGAAAGCUCCUGGCUCAACUGGGAGAGGUCGCUCAAGACUGGCAGACUGGAGCAUGGUAGGGGAAGGUGGAAUUCCGGGAGUAGUGGUGAAAUGCGUAGAUAUCCGGAGGAACACCAGUGGCGAAAGCGGCCUUCUGGACCAUGACUGACGCUCAGACGCGAAAGCCAGGGGAGCAAACGGGAUUAGAGACCCCGGUAGUCCUGGCUGUAAACGAUGUGAACUGGGCGCUGGGGGGG